This 1069-nucleotide ribosomal RNA is filed under the name uncultured Moraxellaceae bacterium. RNAcentral's name for it is "bacterial SSU rRNA". It matches the Rfam family "Bacterial small subunit ribosomal RNA", at positions 336 to 1397 of the family's 1533-position model. Lineage: Bacteria; Pseudomonadati; Pseudomonadota; Gammaproteobacteria; Moraxellales; Moraxellaceae. The record is from RNAcentral.
CUCCUACGGGAGGCAGCAGUGGGGAAUAUUGGACAAUGGGGGGAACCCUGAUCCAGCCAUGCCGCGUGUGUGAAGAAGGCCUUAUGGUUGUAAAGCACUUUAAGCGAGGAGGAGGCUACUUUAGUUAAUACCUAGAGAUAGUGGACGUUACUCGCAGAAUAAGCACCGGCUAACUCUGUGCCAGCAGCCGCGGUAAUACAGAGGGUGCAAGCGUUAAUCGGAUUUACUGGGCGUAAAGCGCGCGUAGGCGGCUAAUUAAGUCAAAUGUGAAAUCCCCGAGCUUAACUUGGGAAUUGCAUUCGAUACUGGUUAGCUAGAGUGUGGGAGAGGAUGGUAGAAUUCCAGGUGUAGCGGUGAAAUGCGUAGAGAUCUGGAGGAAUACCGAUGGCGAAGGCAGCCAUCUGGCCUAACACUGACGCUGAGGUGCGAAAGCAUGGGGAGCAAACAGGAUUAGAUACCCUGGUAGUCCAUGCCGUAAACGAUGUCUACUAGCCGUUGGGGCCUUUGAGGCUUUAGUGGCGCAGCUAACGCGAUAAGUAGACCGCCUGGGGAGUACGGCCGCAAGACUAAAACUCAAAUGAAUUGACGGGGGCCCGCACAAGCGGUGGAGCAUGUGGUUUAAUUCGAUGCAACGCGAAGAACCUUACCUGGCCUUGACAUAGUAAGAACUUUCCAGAGAUGGAUUGGUGCCUUCGGGAACUGUGAGACAGGUGCUGCAUGGCUGUCGUCAGCUCGUGUUGUGAAAUGUUGGGUUAAGUCCCGCAACGAGCGCAACCCUUAUCCUUUGUUGCCAGCGGUCCGGCCGGGAACUCAAAGGAGACUGCCAGUGAUAAACUGGAGGAAGGUGGGGAUGACGUCAAGUCAUCAUGGCCCUUACGAGUAGGGCUACACACGUGCUACAAUGGCGCAUACAAAGAGAAGCGACCUCGCGAGAGCAAGCGGACCUCAUAAAGUAUGUCGUAGUCCGGAUUGGAGUCUGCAACUCGACUCCAUGAAGUCGGAAUCGCUAGUAAUCGUGGAUCAGAAUGCCACGGUGAAUACGUUCCCGGGCCUUGUACACACCGCCCGU